GCGACCCCAGGUCAGGCGGGGUUACCCGCUGAGYUUAA
Molecule: ribosomal RNA, 38 nt
Filed under: Cyathula uncinulata
Lineage: Eukaryota; Viridiplantae; Streptophyta; Magnoliopsida; Caryophyllales; Amaranthaceae
Source: RNAcentral